GACGAACGCUGGCGGCGUGCUUAACACAUGCAAGUCGAACGGAAAGGCCCUUCUUUUGUGGGGUGCUCGAGUGGCGAACGGGUGAGUAACACGUGAGUAACCUGCCCUUCACUUUGGGAUAACUUCAGGAAACUGGUGCUACUACCGGAUAGGAGCUCCUGCUGCAUGGUGGGGGUUGGAAAGUUUCGGCGGUUGGGCAUGGACUCGCGGCGGAUCAGCUUGUUGGUGGGGUAGUGGCUUACCAAGGCUGUGACGGGCAGCCGGCCUGAGAGGGUGACCGGCCACAUUGGGACUGAGAAACGACACAGACUCCGACGGGAGGCAGCAGUGGGGAAUAUUGCACAAUGGGCGGAAGCCUGAUGCAGCAACGCCGCGUGCGGGAUGACGGCCUUCGGGUUGUAAACCGCUUUCGCCUGUGACGAAGCGUGAGUGACGGUAAUGGGUAAAGAAGCACCGGCUAACUACGUG
Molecule: ribosomal RNA, 468 nt
Filed under: uncultured bacterium
Lineage: Bacteria
Description: partial 16S ribosomal RNA
Rfam family: Bacterial small subunit ribosomal RNA
Source: RNAcentral